UACCGGGAGGCAGCAGUGGGGAAUAUUGCACAAUGGGCGCAAGCCUGAUGCAGCCAUGCCGCGUGUGUGAAGAAGGCCUUCGGGUUGUAAAGCACUUUCAGUCGUGAGGAAGGUGGUGUAGUUAAUAGCUGCAUUAUUUGACGUUAGCGACAGAAGAAGCACCGGCUAACUCCGUGCCAGCAGCCGCGGUAAUACGGAGGGUGCGAGCGUUAAUCGGAAUUACUGGGCGUAAAGCGCAUGCAGGUGGUUUGUUAAGUCAGAUGUGAAAGCCCGGGGCUCAACCUCGGAAUAGCAUUUGAAACUGGCAGACUAGAGUACUGUAGAGGGGGGUAGAAUUUCAGGUGUAGCGGUGAAAUGCGUAGAGAUCUGAAGGAAUACCGGUGGCGAAGGCGGCCCCCUGGACAGAUACUGACACUCAGAUGCGAAAGCGUGGGGAGCAAACAGGAUUAGAUACCCUGGUAGUCCACGCCGUAAACGAUGUCUACUUGGAGGUUGUGGCCUUGAGCCGUGGCUUUCGGAGCUAACGCGUUAAGUAGACCGCCUGGGGAGUACGGUCGCAAGAUUAAAACUCAAAUGAAUUGACGGGGGCCCGCACAAGCGGUGGAGCAUGUGGUUUAAUUCGAUGCAACGCGAAGAACCUUACCUACUCUUGACAUCCAGAGAACUUCCAGAGA
RNAcentral lists this ribosomal RNA (674 nucleotides) under Vibrio sp. Its description in RNAcentral is "bacterial SSU rRNA". It matches the Rfam family "Bacterial small subunit ribosomal RNA", at positions 339 to 1006 of the family's 1533-position model. The record is from RNAcentral. Lineage: Bacteria; Pseudomonadati; Pseudomonadota; Gammaproteobacteria; Vibrionales; Vibrionaceae.